AUUGCAGACUGUAAAGGAAAAAUUGAACCAAGUUGCACGUUCUAUUGGUCAACCGUUGAAUGCUGAUACACUCUUUUUUAAGGCACCCUUUGAAGAAGUGCCAGAAUUAUUUGCUGGCCGCAGGGUUUUCCUACAAAAAGGUUUUGCUUAUGUUGCGAUGCAUCAGGU
Long non-coding RNA from Zingiber officinale, 168 nucleotides. RefSeq lists it as uncharacterized. The record is from RefSeq and is a predicted model, not a curated record. Lineage: Eukaryota; Viridiplantae; Streptophyta; Magnoliopsida; Zingiberales; Zingiberaceae. The transcript has 3 exons.